This is a long non-coding RNA of Pipra filicauda (Wire-tailed manakin), 4382 nucleotides long. RefSeq lists it as uncharacterized. The transcript is spliced from 4 exons. The record is from RefSeq and is a predicted model, not a curated record. Lineage: Eukaryota; Metazoa; Chordata; Aves; Passeriformes; Pipridae.
GUAUCAGUUUUUUGGUUUUCUGCUGUUUUCAGAAGCAAGCUAUCUCAUUGAAAAUGCAGUUAUUGGCUCUUGCUUCUUCUUUUUCUUUUUCCCUACAUCAAUACUCUCUCCCUGCAAAGAGAACAGAAUCAUGAAACCUCGGAGGUCAAGCAGGCUUUGAAAAUGCUCAUCAUAGUGGGGGGAAAAAAAAGAGUAGAUUGCUGUUCUUUGGAACUUGUUGUAUACAUAUAGAAGGGAACCUCAGCACAAGAGGAGGGGAGUGAUUUUCAAAAGCGUGACAUAAACCAAAAUAAGCAGUCCAGAAACCUGAGAGAGGUCUAUAGAUGUGGCAAACUAUUUAAUUUAAACAGGAAGAUGAUUCAAAAUUUCUCCUUGGCUGGUUUUGCCAUUCUACCAGUUAACUUGGAAUACUGGAUAUAUUGGUAAACUGCAAAAUUCUCUUGGUAAUUAUGUGUUAUUUUGAGCACUGUUCAUAUUGUAUUUUAUGUUUGACCUUAUUUUUGCAAGAAUUCUUACAGGUGUGAUCAUACAGGGAAAGUUACCUACCCGUAGAUAUCUGAUAUUCUCCCAUAUAUGAGCAAAACAGUCAACAAAUUAACAGACAUAAUUUCCAAAUUGCUUUAUAAAAGGGUCUACAUGAGAAUCACAAUUUAAAAAGAAAAAUAAUAAAUUGCUCACUUAUUUUUUCUAUUCAGACUUGAAGUUCAAGUCAGCUCUGAAGUGAACACCUAGAAUAAUUAGCUUAUGCCGUUUCAUUUUAUUGAUAUUUAUUGGCUAACUAAGGGAAGAGAAAAGCUUCAAUGUAUAUAUUAUGCAGUAGAUAGGGGUCACAGGUUUUAUUUCUGCCUUGACAUUUACUCAUUGUAGACAGUGGAUCAGCUUCUUAGACAAACAUUCUCCAGCUUUAAAAGUUCAGUCUGAAAACCUAUGACACAGCUUUUAUAUGUACUGAACACCAACCUUUUCCAUUGAUCCUACAUGAGGGAUGGAGGCAUUUAGCACAUUGCAAGUAAUCAAAAGGUACCAUGCAAAACAGCUCAUACUGUAGCAUUCAAACUGAAAGAAAUUGUAAACAAUUCUGCUUUGCUCUUCAAGGCAUUACCCCUGCUUGUCCUGCAAUUACUGUUCCAUUGCCUGAAUAUCUUCAUUUUGAAAAACGACAUUAGAGAAAUACCUAUACAUGUACAUCACAAAUCAUUUCUCAUUGAUUUUGGUUAAAAGCUAGAAAGUCUGCAUAAACAGUUGUCUUUGAUGCCCUCUAACUAGCUUAAAAGCAGUAAUAACCAACUCAAGCUGCCAGAAAUGACUGUGCAUGUCAACUGCCUGAUGGCCGAUCAUUUCCUAUGCAUAAGCAUAUAUUUUUGUUACCUUGAUUGCUGGAAUGGGCUUCUUCGGAAUGAAAUGCUUUUUCUCGGGAAGCACAGCAGUCAUGUUCUGUGCCUUCAGUUUAAUCUUGUUCUCAGCUAUUAUUUUUUUGCGUUGUUCCAGGUAAGGCCCAAAACUGGGUAGUUUCUGAAACAAAAAUGAUUAUGCUUAGUGAGUGGGGGUAGUAAAAAGGUGAGUCUGAUCCCACAGGUGAAACCCUAAGUCCAUGCUGACCAUGACUUGCUUCUUAUUCAGGAAGUUGAAAUUGAAAACAGCAAGACUGCACCAGAGUGAGAAGUGAAUAAAAAUCAAAUAUGAACACUGGGAUCUGACUUGAAAAUAUAUACUGAAUAUUAAAAUAUUAAUAUCCCACAGCAGAAAAAUAGCUGAAUUGCAGGUCAGCAUCCCACAAUCUAUUAUAUCCCCAUUGCAUACUUGCUUGUAUAUAAAAAUGUAUCAUGUUAAAUAAUUCAAAUUCUAACUUUAUUUCUAUUUUAUUUUAUACUAUGUGGUAAGGUAUCAGAAAAUUAUCAGUUUACUUAGAAGGGUUCCACCAGUAUUUAAGAUUACUUGUACUGAUAUCUGAAUAUAUCAAUACAUAUUUUUUAAAGCUUAUAAACAUAUAUUUUGCAGUCUGAUAAUAGAAGGCUGUCUUGACCUGUCAAAGUAAGGCUAACAAACACCAAAUGAACUGAAACACAUUAUAAUCUCCUAAUUUACCUCCAUGUCCCACUUGCAAUCUUUUCUGCAACGUUUAAUCCUUGAACCCAAUUAAGCAAACUCUAGAGGAAGAUUUCACUGAAUUGCAAAACUCAUGUCUCACCCAAGAACAUGAAAGAGCUGGUUAAGGAUUCAUAAAACACUCCACUUCCUGACAGAAAAAGUCCCUUUGCUUACCUAGCAGAGAUAUGGACAACUGUAGUGUGCCACGAUCACAGAGUUCGGUGAGCGAAAAAUGGUAAAAAAAUGGAUUUUUGCUUGAUGCAAUAGAUCAUGCCCUUCCUCCCCUGAAACUAGUUUCUUAUUCUGCAAAAGUAUUUUAUCCACCUAACUAAACCCUGUUCAGAAGCUACAGCAGUACUGCAGAAACCAGCAGGUAGUAACAGGGGAUACACAGCCUCGGCAGCUGCUAGCAUUAAUUCACGCUAAUAAUACAACCUCAAAGAGCAUAUCGAACAAGAUACAGUACUGCCGCAGUCAUCAAUUUUUUAAGAGGGAAUUUCAAUGUGAAUUUUAAACCCCAAAUUAUUUAAAAAUUUACAAAUUAUUAUUUUUUAAAAUGAAGUAAAUCCAGAAGAGGUUACCCUGCCCUUCUGCUAAUCCUUAGGAGAAAAAUUCCUCGAUGAGCUCCGUCAGCCACAGUACCCAGCCCUGGGACCUCAGGCUUCUUGCUAUGACAAACAAAAGCUUUCUUGGCUGUUCAGUUUUUGGCACUCUGAGCAUACAGCCAGAGGGUGAGGUCCUUGAAAUGCUUCUCUGCUUCCAAGAGUUGGUUUGUGGCCUCAACACAUUUUUAACAGCAAGUCAGCAUGAGCCUUGCAGUCUCCUGGAGCUCCCCGGAGGAGGUGCCCUCCUGCAGGCUGGAACUGAACCAUGAGACAAAGCCUCAGUCUGGGCAAAUGCAAGGCCAGAACUGUGAGGGAUAUUGCAGACCCCAUCUGUCCCAAAGGUAAGGUGUAGCCCAAGUUUCCCCAUUGUCCAUGGGUUCUUAUUGUGUCUGUUCAAUGAGAACUUGGUUCCUGCAUGUCAUGUUCAAGGGCUUCCUUACAGACAUCAAACAAACUUUCCUUUCUGUGCAGUUGCCAUAUGAGAAUUGUUCUUGGAUGUCUUAAAAUAAGGCUUUAUGAAUUACUCCAAACAGAAGUAAGGAAGCGGCCUUACAUACUAAAGUCAAAUAAGACAGCAAAACCAGGAUUAUUUUAUAAGGCAAAAUGAGCAGAAGGAAGAAUUUGUUUAAUUUCAUUCUAAUCAAUAGGCUCUAAAGCACAAACAUGUAAACUCAAUUCUUUACAAGACUUUUAGAAAGCCUAAAACUUUUAGCAAAAAUCAAAACCCCACAAAUUUUGCUAAAAAGUGUUCUGGUAUGUCUACUAGGUCAAAUCAACUAGAAUUACAUUUUUGGCUAUGAAUAAGUAGUAGUUGUGUCACUGAGAAACUAUUUCCUCUCCAUAAUUUAUGUGCUGAUGCCAACAACUUUGACUUGAGAGGGGAGGAGACCCGAUGACAAAGCAUUGUUGGAUUCUUUCCUGUCUGGCCAGGAAUUGGAUUGCUGACUUUGAGAUUUUUUAUCUUUUAGACAUGAUCAAACGAACGUCACUUUUUGGAAAACUGGUGCUGAAAGCAAGUCAUCCUAAUAACUUUGGGUUGUAAGAGUGUGCACUACAUCUUAACUGUCUGCCUGACUGCAUCAUGCGCUUGAUCUCAGUCCUAAAUUCAUGCUGAGUGUCAAAGAUUUGCAAACUGAGAUUAAAGCCGAAACAAGCUGACAAGUUUUAUUCCAUGCAUUUAAUGCAAAGGUGAUUCAGAGUUGAUAUUAAUGACAGUCACCUGUGCCAAGGCUUCAAAUGUCAAGUUCUCCCACAGAAAAAAAAGCAAAUGCCAACUAAAUAAGCCAUCAAAAAAGCAAUGAGGAAGGAAGCCCAGAAGACUGGCUUUGGCCAUCUUUGUGAGCCUGAUGCAGCAUCUGUGCUAGGACUAUUUUUGGAGCUGUCACGGAUAAGACUACAACCACAGGAAAGAAUGAGUAAAAUUGGUGAAGCUAUGGAAAACUGUAUCACCCAGUGACUGGAAGCCACAACUGUGGCUAGCAUUUCUAAGUGGAAAUCUCACUGCUACUACAGUCAGCGUAGUACUACAGGUCACAUUCUAGACACUGGUAAGCAACUGCUGUGUUAGCAAAAGGGAAAAAGCUAGUGCUACUGAAAAAAACAUUGGAAAAUAUCUACCUCUGUGUCAAAGAUGAUAAAUUUAGGGUCUAUAUACGAAAAAAAAUAGAUUCUGGAACAGUGAAAAACAAA